AGUGAACGCUGGCGGUAGGCCUAACACAUGCAAGUCGGACGGCAGCACAGUAAGAGCUUGCUCUUACGGGUGGCGAGUGGCGGACGGGUGAGGAAUACAUCGGAAUCUACUUUUUCGUGGGGGAUAACGUAGGGAAACUUACGCUAAUACCGCAUACGACCUACGGGUGAAAGCAGGGGAUCUUCGGACCUUGCGCGAUUGAAUGAGCCGAUGUCGGAUUAGCUAGUUGGCGGGGUAAAGGCCCACCAAGGCGAUGAUCCGUAGCUGGUCUGAGAGGAUGAUCAGCCACACUGGAACUGAGACACGGUCCAGACUCCUACGGGAGGCAGCAGUGGGGAAUAUUGGACAAUGGGCGCAAGCCUGAUCCAGCCAUACCGCGUGGGUGAAGAAGGCCUUCGGGUUGUAAAGCCCUUUUGUUGGGAAAGAAAAGCAGCAGGUUAAUACCCCGCUGUUCUGACGGUACCCAAAGAAUAAGCACCGGCUAACUUCGUG
This 492-nucleotide ribosomal RNA is filed under the name uncultured bacterium. Its description in RNAcentral is "partial 16S ribosomal RNA". It matches the Rfam family "Bacterial small subunit ribosomal RNA", at positions 29 to 507 of the family's 1533-position model. The record is from RNAcentral.